Molecule: long non-coding RNA, 1792 nt
Organism: Homo sapiens (human)
Lineage: Eukaryota; Metazoa; Chordata; Mammalia; Primates; Hominidae
Gene: C12orf42-AS1
Product: C12orf42 antisense RNA 1
Source: Ensembl
GAGUGUGGGCAAAAGCUCACACUCAGUCCCAGGAUUAAGUUACUAAUCACUUGAUGUUGUCUUAAUUGAAAGGCAGAUUACCCAGACUAGUCCCUUCUGCCUUCUGGGCAGGUCACAUCUGAAAGAUUAUCCUCUUUGAAUCAGUUUGAAUGUUCUAGUGACCAGGCCACACAGUUUCUCUUGACAUUUAAAAAUAAAGCUUCCAGUCUUGUCACUAAUGGAUUUGGGGUCCAGUACCCUUAAAAUCACCUCAGAGCUGCCUGAAUCCAUAGACUACUUGCAGAAUCACUGGUUUUACUUGGAUCAAGCCAUCUGAGAAGUUUGGCUGAAAUAAAAACUCAAAGCCCCCACAAUAUUGAACCACCAUUCCAGACCCAGCCAAGGUUUGGAACAUAAAGUGAGCUGAAUGAAUCAGCCUGCAGGCAACCCAGAGAAAGUAAUUGUUCAUCCUAGCAGCACGGCUGCUUUUCUGCUUAGCAUCUGAACAAGUUAAUUUGGAAACACAGCCUUCUGGAAAGAAAUGGCGCUUCUCUCAGCAUCCCAUGGAUUCAUGAGCAGCUCCUUGAAUGCAAAUAUUGCCUGAUAUUUUCAUGUGGUCUCCAGACACAGGAGAAGAGCGACGGCGAAGAAAGGAAGGAAGGAAGAAAGAAAAGGAGCCUGAAUUUACACUCACCGCUUCAAAAGCCCUUUUGUACUAAGCCAACUUCUCCUGGCUGAAGAUGCAGUAUCUGCCAAGAAGUCGCCUGCAAGAAAGCACACCACACAACAAAAGUAUAAAACAGUCCAUUAAAGGGCUCCUUUUCUACCCACCCCCAACUUCUUUUAAUAAUUUUUUUCUUUUGCAUAAAAGACACAUUUUUAGAAAGUGGCACUCACUCGGUGCCCUACAAUGCUGACUGGGAUUAGAAAAUAAGCUGCCUCGUUAGUGAAGUUUCGAGUUCGGUUUGGCUGUUUGGGUCAAUUGUCUUUUCACCUGGCUCGAGCCACCAAGUCAACGUGAACUAAGAAUAGGAGUUAUUUAGCAUGUAGGACCCGUCGGAGAGCAAGCCUCUCGGAGCAGUGGUCUGAGAGGAGCGAGAAUGGCUGUCUUGUUUGGGUGGUUGUUGUUUUGAGCUGCUCUUACACAUUCAGACUUUCUGUCCAUUCAGCCAGAGAGGCCACGUGUCCGAAACCUGAAAGGGGCUAGUGCUUUAGAGCAACGUGGUUAAACUUGCCUUUUCAUAUGUGGGAUUUUCCAUGUGGACAAUAUUUGUUCUCUAGGCAUUUUGAGAAGCCUGCUCAUAUAUGGAUGUUUUUCAAUGUUUAUAUUUUCAAGUAUGUGUUUAAAAACCAGCAUAAACUGUGAGGGAUGUGAGAGGGUAGGAGGAAGAGAAAGUAGAAAUAAACAAAGAGUGGUCAGUAACUUCUUCCAUCACAGCCUGCAUAGACACCUGCUGGAAAGUCACAAGUCCUGUGAAAUGACUCGCCGAGUGUUUUGAUCUCCAUGAUGCCAACUGGCUGACUUUUCCAAUGAACUGACCAGUUGUUUUGGCAUCUUUCAGGAACAACUCUGCUUCAAUCUGAAUUAUUUAGAAGUAAUUACCCCAUGGGUGGAUAAUCAAGGCCUGUGCUUUCUUUCUAUUUUCUUUCUAGGCACCUGCUUUUUGGGGCCUAUUUUAAUACUAAUUCAUACCCCAAACUUGAGAAGGGUGUUUCAGUUUACUUCAGUGAACAUUUUUAUUGAACAUCUGUCAUGAGCCAAGCACUCUGCUAGAUUCUGGAGAUAGAAAGAUAAAAAGAGGUGAUUGUUGCU